Molecule: long non-coding RNA, 466 nt
Organism: Mobula hypostoma (lesser devil ray)
Lineage: Eukaryota; Metazoa; Chordata; Chondrichthyes; Myliobatiformes; Myliobatidae
Exons: 2
Source: RefSeq, a predicted model, not a curated record
GUGCUUCCACGGCGCCCCUUGCACUCGAAUGUCAAUCAAAACGGAACUGCCGGAAAACUGAAAUGAAGACAGAAAAUCCGAUGCUGCCUGACCUGUUGAGUUCUACCAGAAUUUUGUGAGUGUUGCUCAAGAUUUCCAGCAUCUGAAGAAGAUCUUGUGUCUCAAUGGCAUUGAAAUUACAGGUGAAAAUUCUGAAGGGCAAAAUACAGUAAUCCAUGAGCAAAAGAAGACCAUAUAGUUUGUGGGAAUAAGUUUACUAUGACUUGUGGUAAUAUGUUGACACCAUGCACCAUGGAGUUGGUGUCUUAUCUGGCAAACUGAUGGAAAAAAUAAAGCAACACUUCAACCCAGCAUGUCAGAAGUACUUGAAAGCUUCGUUCAAUUCAUGUAAUCUGAUACCAGAUUGGUGAUUAUAUUCCACAUCUGAGAGAUUUAAUAAAACAUUGGAAUUUUGCAAUACUCCUAA